Molecule: long non-coding RNA, 281 nt
Organism: Chelmon rostratus (copperband butterflyfish)
Lineage: Eukaryota; Metazoa; Chordata; Actinopteri; Chaetodontiformes; Chaetodontidae
Exons: 3
Source: RefSeq, a predicted model, not a curated record
UGAGCAAAGAGCUAAGCAGCAGCAACAACAACAACAACAACAAGUUCGGUGUUUCUAAGGAGCAAACAGUGACACACUACAUCAUUUCUGCCAGAAACCAUCUACAACCAAGUAUUUCUUACCCAUGAACGGGGAUGCAGGGACUCCCUGUGGAGGCGGAGGAGAGUAAGAGGGUCUGGACUGGAGGAGGGUCAUGUAGGAGGGAAACAAGAGCUCGCAGCGACUGUUCUCACUAAAAAGAACUGACAGGAAGACGCCAGCUGUGCUGCUCUCAUCGAAGG